This 116-nucleotide non-coding RNA is filed under the name Heyndrickxia ginsengihumi. RNAcentral's name for it is "Bacillus ginsengihumi TPP sequence". It matches the Rfam family "TPP riboswitch aptamer (THI element)". Rfam says of the family: Vitamin B(1) in its active form thiamin pyrophosphate (TPP) is an essential coenzyme that is synthesised by coupling of pyrimidine and thiazole moieties in bacteria. The record is from Rfam by way of RNAcentral. Lineage: Bacteria; Bacillati; Bacillota; Bacilli; Caryophanales; Bacillaceae.
AUGAUUAACUAGGGGUGUCCAUUAGCUGGGCUGAGAGAGAAACGCGCUUGAAGUUUCUUAACCCUUUGGACCUGAUCUGGUUCAUACCAGCGUGGGGAAAGUUAGUUCAGUUAAGA